CUACGGGUCGCUGCAGUGGGGAAUAUUGGACAAUGGGGGAAACCCUGAUCCAGCAAUGCCGCGUGUGUGAAGAAGGCCUGCGGGUUGUAAAGCACUUUCGGUUGGGAGGACUGCUUCUAGCACUAAUAUUGUUGGAAGUUGACGUUACCUUCAGAAGAAGCACCGGCUAACUCCGUGCCAGCAGCCGCGGUAAUACGGAGGGUGCAAGCGUUAAUCGGAAUUACUGGGCGUAAAGCGCGCGUAGGCGGCUAGAUCAGUCGGGUGUGAAAGCCCCGGGCUUAACCUGGGAACUGCAUCCGAUACUGUCUAGCUUGAGUACAGGAGAGGAGAGUGGAAUUCCACAUGUAGCGGUGAAAUGCGUAGAUAUGUGGAGGAACACCAAUGGCGAAGGCAGCUCUCUGACCUGAUACUGACGCUGAGGUGCGAAAGCGUGGGGAUCAAACAGGAUUAGAUACCCGUGUAGUC
RNAcentral lists this ribosomal RNA (465 nucleotides) under uncultured bacterium. RNAcentral describes it as "partial 16S ribosomal RNA". It matches the Rfam family "Bacterial small subunit ribosomal RNA", at positions 339 to 795 of the family's 1533-position model. The record is from RNAcentral.